UACGUAGGGACCAAGCGUUGUUCGGAUUUACUGGGCGUAAAGGGCGCGUAGGCGGUGUGACAAGUCACUUGUGAAAUCUCUGAGCUUAACUCAGAACGGCCAAGUGAAACUGUUGUGCUAGAGUGCAGAAGGGGCAAUCGGAAUUCUUGGUGUAGCGGUGAAAUGCGUAGAUAUCGUAAGGAAGACCAGAGGCGAAGGCGGCUAGCUGGACAGGCACUGACACUCAACUACGAAAGCGUGGGGAGCAAACAGG
RNAcentral lists this ribosomal RNA (253 nucleotides) under uncultured bacterium. Its description in RNAcentral is "partial 16S ribosomal RNA". It matches the Rfam family "Bacterial small subunit ribosomal RNA", at positions 524 to 776 of the family's 1533-position model. The record is from RNAcentral.